UACGUAGGGUGCAAGCGUUAAUCGGAAUUACUGGGCGUAAAGCGUGCGCAGGCGGUUAUAUAAGACAGUUGUGAAAUCCCCGGGCUUAACCUGGGAAUUGCCUAUGAAACUGGGUAGCUAGAGUACAGGAGAGGGAAGUGGAAUUUCCGGUGUAGCGGUGAAAUGCGUAGAUAUCGGAAGGAACACCAGUGGCGAAAGCGGCUCUCUGGGGGCAACCUGACGCUGAGGCGCGAAAGCGUGGGGAGCGAACCGG
RNAcentral lists this ribosomal RNA (253 nucleotides) under uncultured bacterium. RNAcentral's name for it is "partial 16S ribosomal RNA". It matches the Rfam family "Bacterial small subunit ribosomal RNA", at positions 524 to 776 of the family's 1533-position model. The record is from RNAcentral.